CAAAGGAUAAGAAUCUGCAGGAACUUUCUGGCCUAGUUUAGGAAAGCGAGGGGAUGUCCAUGGAUCUUCACUGCAUCACACAGGAUGAAGAGCUGAGCCUCUCAGAGGAGGGCAAUUAUCCAAUAGGGAAAACUGCACCUGGAGCAGAAGCAAUCAUCUCUUCAAAUUAAUUCUCCCCUCAAGCCUUGGGAGCCAUGCUGUAGACCCAGAAUCAAGACAAGGAUCAAGAAGUUCCAGGCCAGCCUAGACUACAGAGCAAGUUCCAGGACAACCAGGGCUACACAGAGAAACCCUGUCUUGAGAAGAAAAAAAAAAAAACUCCAAAAAGAAGAAGAAGAAGAGAGUUGGCAGAAAGAUGUCUUUCCCAAUGAAAAUGGUGUUUUAAUGGUAUUUUAAGUCAAAACUUUUAUUCUUUUAACUUAUUGCUACUAAGUUAUAUUUCACAUGCUUGCUGUGUGUCUACAAGGAGAAGAAAGAAGUAAAACAGGUAGAGAGUCUUAGCUCAGGCAUCCUGUGCUGGUCCAAUGUUAGUCUGGGUAGUUUCAGCCCUAGAUCUGGCAAGGCUGGCCCAUCCCCCACAGCUGUUUACCCGGAAUUUGGUCAUUACCAGCUGACUCAGGGCUCCUUUCCCCUGGACAUUCCCAGAGACUUUGGGGCCAGGAGUGCUCUGUCCAGUGCAAAGGGUAAAGACAAAGUAAUAUUUAACAGCUGGUUCUUAACCUUGCACAGAGCAAGAAUAUAGGGUUAAACUCAUCUGUUUAGACCCAAGAAAUCCCAUCAUGAGGGAGGAAGGCAACAGGGUUCUGUCAUUCAAAUCUCAGGGUCCCAAAGGACAAGGAGACAGGAAAGAAGGAAGCAAAGAGCUUUUAAGACUUCAGAGGAAGAAAAAGUACAGAAGCAGUUGUCCCCGUGUCCACCAUGUCCUCUCUGAGGAAGGAAGGCAUUGUCUACUGUGUCUCAGGACUCUCUUGGAGGCAAGAGACUAGUAUGGGACAUUAAAGGGAUCAUUGCUGACAAUGUCCCCAGAAAAGUCAUGUCUUGCCGUCUGACCCAGAAACAGGAUGGCUAA
Molecule: non-coding RNA, 1069 nt
Organism: Myodes glareolus (Bank vole)
Lineage: Eukaryota; Metazoa; Chordata; Mammalia; Rodentia; Cricetidae
Source: RefSeq, a predicted model, not a curated record